RNAcentral lists this ribosomal RNA (460 nucleotides) under Bacillus sp. HPB-9. RNAcentral's name for it is "partial 16S ribosomal RNA". It matches the Rfam family "Bacterial small subunit ribosomal RNA", at positions 168 to 607 of the family's 1533-position model. Lineage: Bacteria; Bacillati; Bacillota; Bacilli; Caryophanales; Bacillaceae. The record is from RNAcentral.
ACCGGAUAAUACUUUUCGUUGCAUAACGAGAAGUUGAAAGGCGGCUUUUAGCUGUCACUUACAGAUGGGCCCGCGGCGCANUAGCUAGUUNGUAAGGUAACGGCUUACCAAGGCGACNAUNCGUAGCCNACCUGAGAGGGUGAUCGGCCACACUGGGACUGAAACACGGCCCANACUCCUACGGGAGGCAGCAGUAGGGAAUCUUCCGCAAUGGACCAANGUCUNACNGANCCCCGCCNCGUGAGUGAUGAAGGUUUUCGGAUCGUAAAACUCUUUUGUCAGGGAAGAACAAGUGCCGUUCAAAUAGGGCGGCCCUUGACGGUCCUGACCAGAAAGNCCCCGCAAAUUACCUGCCACCGNCCCCGGNAAUACCUAAGGGGGCAAAGCGUUUUNCCGAAUUNUUUNGGGGCGUNAAAGGGCGNGNGCAAGGGCGGUCCUUUUUAAUUNUUAAAUNUNGAAA